Molecule: unclassified non-coding RNA, 536 nt
Filed under: leaf metagenome
Description: partial contains internal transcribed spacer 1, 5.8S ribosomal RNA, internal transcribed spacer 2, and large subunit ribosomal RNA
Rfam family: 5.8S ribosomal RNA (bases 177-330)
Source: RNAcentral
CGGAGGGAUCAUUACAGAGUUUUCUAACUCCCAAACCCAUGUGAACUUACCUUUGUUGCCUCGGCAGAAGCUACCCUGUAGCGCGGUUCAGCCUACCCUGUAGCGAUAUUCUGCCGGUGGACUACUCAACUCUUGUUAUUUUAUUGUAAUCUGAGCGUCUUAUUUUAAUAAGUCAAAACUUUCAACAACGGAUCUCUUGGUUCUGGCAUCGAUGAAGAACGCAGCGAAAUGCGAUAAGUAAUGUGAAUUGCAGAAUUCAGUGAAUCAUCGAAUCUUUGAACGCACAUUGCGCCCAUUAGUAUUCUAGUGGGCAUGCCUGUUCGAGCGUCAUUUCAACCCUUAAGCCUAGCUUAGUAUUGGGAAUCUACUGUAUUGUAGUUCCUCAAAUCCAACGGCGGAUCUGUGGUAUCCUCUGAGCGUAGUAAAUUUUUAUCUCGCUUUUGUUAGGUGCUGCAGCUCCCAGCCGCUAAACCCCCCAAUUUUUAAUGGUUGACCUCGGAUCAGGUAGGAAUACCCGCUGAACUUAAGCAUAUCAA